CUUGGUCAUUUAGAGGAAGUAAAAGUCGUAACAAGGUUUCCGUAGGUGAACCUGCGGAAGGAUCAUUAGUGAAUUUGUAGCCUCCAAGGCUCACAUUCUCUAUCCUUUACACACCUGUGCACCCUUCUGAAGCGGAGAGUUAUUAGGCAUUAGCCGAGCGCCUCCCUUCGGUUAUUAUAUCAAACUCAAACUACGUUUACUAGAAUGUAUACCGUCUUGUUGUAACGACAAGUACAAUCCAAUAAAACUUUCAGCAACGGAUCUCUUGGCUCAGGCAUCGAUGAAGAACGCAGCGAAAUGCGAUAAGUAAUGUGAAUUGCAGAAUCCAGUGAAUCAUCGAAUCUUUGAACGCAACUUGCGCCCUCUGGUAUUCCGGAGGGCAUGCCUGUUUGAGUGUCGUGAACACCUCAACCCUCUAAUGUUUUUGCAUUGAAGGCGUUGGUAGUGAGCGCUGCCGGUCUUUGGGUCGGCUCGCUUUAAAAUAAUUAGCUGGAUCCAUUCUGACCUGGUUCUACUCGGCGUAAUAAGUUAUUAUCGUCGAGGACGCCUAGCCUUCUAGGCAGGCGGCCACAGUAAGGGUGUUUGAACCGCUUCCAACACGUCUUGCUCUUGUAGCAAACGACUUGAACCUCUGACCUCAAAUCAGGCAGGACUACCCGCUUUACUUAAGCAUAUCAAUAAGCGGAGGA
This 689-nucleotide ribosomal RNA is filed under the name uncultured fungus. RNAcentral describes it as "eukaryotic LSU rRNA". The stretch from base 246 to 399 matches the Rfam family "5.8S ribosomal RNA". Lineage: Eukaryota; Fungi. The record is from RNAcentral.